AUACGUAGGUGGCAAGCGUUGUCCGGAAUUAUUGGGCGUAAAGGGCUCGCAGGCGGUUUCUUAAGUCUGAUGUGAAAGCCCCCGGCUCAACCGGGGAGGGUCAUUGGAAACUGGGGAACUUGAGUGCAGAAGAGGAGAGUGGAAUUCCACGUGUAGCGGUGAAAUGCGUAGAGAUGUGGAGGAACACCAGUGGCGAAGGCGACUCUCUGGUCUGUAACUGACGCUGAGGAGCGAAAGCGUGGGGAGCGAACAGGAUUAGAUACCCUGGUAGUCCACGCCGUAAACGAUGAGUGCUAAGUGUUAGGGGGUUUCCGCCCCUUAGUGCUGCAGCUAACGCAUUAAGCACUCCGCCUGGGGAGUACGGUCGCAAGACUGAAACUCAAAGGAAUUGACGGGGGCCCGCACAAGCGGUGGAGCAUGUGGUUUAAUUCGAAGCAACGCGAAGAACCUUACCAGGUCUUGACAUCCUCUGACAAUCCUAGAGAUAGGACGUCCCCUUCGGGGGCAGAGUGACAGGUGGUGCAUGGUUGUCGUCAGCUCGUGUCGUGAGAUGUUGGGUUAAGUCCCGCAACGAGCGCAACCCUUGAUCUUAGUUGCCAGCAUUCAGUUGGGCACUUUAAGGUGACUGCCGGUGACAAACCGGAGGAAGGUGGGGAUGACGUCAAAUCAUCAUGCCCCUUAUGACCUGGGCUACACACGUGCUACAAUGGACAGAACAAAGGGCAGCGAAACCGCGAGGUUAAGCCAAUCCCACAAAUCUGUUCUCAGUUCGGAUCGCAGUCUGCAACUCGACUGCGUGAAGCUGGAAUCGCUAGUAAUCGCGGAUCAGCAUGCCGCGGU
RNAcentral lists this ribosomal RNA (840 nucleotides) under Bacillus sp. R-PS-GR2. RNAcentral describes it as "bacterial SSU rRNA". It matches the Rfam family "Bacterial small subunit ribosomal RNA", at positions 523 to 1363 of the family's 1533-position model. Lineage: Bacteria; Bacillati; Bacillota; Bacilli; Caryophanales; Bacillaceae. The record is from RNAcentral.